GAUAAUAUUACUUAAAUUUUUCGGAUACAGUUAAAUUUUAAUUUGAAGCUUUAUAUUAGAAUUUAUUGAGUGAAAUCAUUAAGUUUUAAAGUUGGCUAAUUAUUUGUUUGUGAGGCUGAGAAAUUUAAUAUUUAAACUAGGAUUAGAUACCCUAUUAUUUUAAACGUGAAGUUAUUUUCUGACCAGUAUUAGUUAUUUUCUUGAAAAUUAAAGAUUUUGGCGGUAUUUUAGUCUGUUCAGAGGAACCUGUCCUGUAAUUGAUGAUCCACGAUUUAUUAUACUUUCUCUUUAGUUUUCAUAUCGUCGUAGGUUGAAAAUUUUUUUAGAAUUAGAAUUUUCAUAAAUUUUUUUAUAAAGGAAAUCAGAUCAAGGUGUAGCCUAUGGGAAAGAUAGAGAUGGGUUACAUUAAUUUUAUAUAAGGAGGGUUUCUUGAAAAGUAACUUGAAUUUGGAUUUGACAGUAAUUUUAAUUAAAUUAUUAAUAUGAUUUUAGCUCUAAAAUAUGCACAUAUCGCCCGUCGCUUUCACUAUAAAGUGAAAUAAGUCGUAACAAAGUAGGCUUACUGGAAGGUGAGCCUGGAAAGUCAGGUUAGAGCUUGUUAUAAAGCAUUUUAUUUACAUUAAAAAGUUAGUUGUGAAAAUCAAUUUGACUUGAACUUUAAUUAUUACUGAAUUUUUAUUUUUUAAUUUUUAUAUAAUGAGAAUAUUAUUUUUUUAUUAUUUGUUAAGAAACAAUUUUAUUAGUUAUAGAUUAUUAGUACUGUCAAGGAAUUAAUAUAAAUAUUUAAAAGAAGAAUUAAUUUUUU
This 805-nucleotide ribosomal RNA is filed under the name Gibbocerambyx aurovirgatus. RNAcentral's name for it is "partial 12S ribosomal RNA". The record is from RNAcentral. Lineage: Eukaryota; Metazoa; Arthropoda; Insecta; Coleoptera; Cerambycidae.